RNAcentral lists this transfer-messenger RNA (81 nucleotides) under Reclinomonas americana ATCC 50633. RNAcentral's name for it is "ssrA". It matches the Rfam family "Mitochondrion-encoded tmRNA". Lineage: Eukaryota; Jakobea; Jakobida; Histionidae. The record is from RNAcentral.
GCUAUGGACCCGAGGGCAGUUCUCGGCAUCUCCAUCUAAAGAUAUUCUUUUUAAGGGGAUGUUUUUAGGAUUCGACAUAGU